Molecule: ribosomal RNA, 432 nt
Filed under: uncultured bacterium
Lineage: Bacteria
Description: partial 16S ribosomal RNA
Rfam family: Bacterial small subunit ribosomal RNA
Source: RNAcentral
AACGAACGCUGGCGGCAUGCCUAACACAUGCAAGUCGAACGAGACCUUCGGGUCUAGUGGCGCACGGGUGCGUAACGCGUGGGACCCUGCCCUUAGGUUCGGAAUAACUCCCCGAAAGGGGUGCUAAUACCGGAUAAUGUCUUCGGACCAAAGAUUUAUCGCCUUUGGAUGGGCCCGCGUUGGAUUAGCUAGUUGGUAGGGUAAAAGCCUACCAAGGCGACGAUCCAUAGCUGGUCUGAGAGGAUGAUCAGCCACACUGGGACUGAGACACGGCCCAGACUCCUACGGGAGGCAGCAGUGGGGAAUAUUGGACAAUGGGCGAAAGCCUGAUCCAGCAAUGCCGCGUGAGUGAUGAAGGCCUUAGGGUUGUAAAGCUCUUUUACCCGGGAUGAUAAUGACAGUACCGGGAGAAUAAGCUCCGGCUAACUCCGU